GUCUAUGGCCAUACCACCCUGAACAUGCCCAAUCUCAUCUGAUCUCGGAAGCUAAAAUGGCUGGCUUAGCAGUGAACCGGAACCAGAACGUCAUGCCGUUGAGG
This 104-nucleotide ribosomal RNA is filed under the name Erinaceus europaeus (western European hedgehog). The record is from RNAcentral. Lineage: Eukaryota; Metazoa; Chordata; Mammalia; Eulipotyphla; Erinaceidae.